AACUCCGGGAAACCGGGGCUAAUACCGGAUGGUUGUUUGAACCGCAUGGUUCAAACAUAAAAGGUGGCUUCGGCUACCACUUACAGAUGGACCCGCGGCGCAUUAGCUAGUUGGUGAGGUAACGGCUCACCAAGGCAACGAUGCGUAGCCGACCUGAGAGGGUGAUCGGCCACACUGGGACUGAGACACGGCCCAGACUCCUACGGGAGGCAGCAGUAGGGAAUCUUCCGCAAUGGACGAAAGUCUGACGGAGCAACGCCGCGUGAGUGAUGAAGGUUUUCGGAUCGUAAAGCUCUGUUGUUAGGGAAGAACAAGUACCGUUCGAAUAGGGCGGUACCUUGACGGUACCUAACCAGAAAGCCACGGCUAACUACGUGCCAGCAGCCGCGGUAAUACGUAGGUGGCAAGCGUUGUCCGGAAUUAUUGGGCGUAAAGGGCUCGCAGGCGGUUUCUUAAGUCUGAUGUGAAAGCCCCCGGCUCAACCGGGGAGGGUCAUUGGAAACUGGGGAACUUGAGUGCAGAAGAGGAGAGUGGAAUUCCACGUGUAGCGGUGAAAUGCGUAGAGAUGUGGAGGAACACCAGUGGCGAAGGCGACUCUCUGGUCUGUAACUGACGCUGAGGAGCGAAAGCGUGGGGAGCGAACAGGAUUAGAUACCCUGGUAGUCCACGCCGUAAACGAUGAGUGCUAAGUGUUAGGGGGUUUCCGCCCCUUAGUGCUGCAGCUAACGCAUUAAGCACUCCGCCUGGGGAGUACGGUCGCAAGACUGAAACUCAAGGAAUUGACGGGGGCC
Molecule: ribosomal RNA, 791 nt
Filed under: Bacillus subtilis
Lineage: Bacteria; Bacillati; Bacillota; Bacilli; Caryophanales; Bacillaceae
Description: bacterial SSU rRNA
Rfam family: Bacterial small subunit ribosomal RNA
Source: RNAcentral